GACGAACGCUGGCGGCGUGCUUAACACAUGCAAGUCGAACGGAAAGGCCCUGCCUUUGUGCGGUGCUCGAGUGGCGAACGGGUGAGUAACACGUGAGUAACCUGCCCUUGACUUUGGGUUAACUUCAGGAAACUGGGGCUCAUACCGGGUAGGAGCUCCUGGUGCAUGGUGGGGGUUGGAAAGUUUCGGCGGUUGGGGAUGGACUCGCGGCUUAUCAGCUUGUUGGUUGGGUAGUGGCUUACCAAGGCUUUGAAGGGUAGCCGGCCUGAGAGGGGGACCGGCCACACUGGGACUGAGAUACGGCCCAGACUCCUACGGGAGGCAGCAGUGGGGAAUAUUGCACAAUGGGCGGAAGCCUGAUGCAGCAACGCCGCGUGCGGGAUGACGGCCUUCGGGUUGUAAACCGAUUUCGCCUGUGACGAAGCGUGAGUGACGGUAAUGGGUAAAGAAGCACCGGCUAACUACGUG
Molecule: ribosomal RNA, 468 nt
Filed under: uncultured bacterium
Lineage: Bacteria
Description: partial 16S ribosomal RNA
Rfam family: Bacterial small subunit ribosomal RNA
Source: RNAcentral